GAGGGGAUGAUGGCGGCAUCCUUCUCAGAAGUGGGGCUGGGGUUGGCAGGUGCCAAUCACAACAGAGUUUUUGUUGGUAUCUCCAUGGGGUGGAGCAGGGCAGGGCCCCACCUAGAAGUGUUCCUACUGUGCUCAGCUGCCUCAGCCAAACUCCUGCCUCGAGAUCUAACUCCUAGUCUGUGCUGUGCUGCACAGUUUGCUGGGCAAAGCAGCUGCAGCCUUCGUCUUGGGUGUGGGGAUGCUGAGAAGAGACGGUUUGGCAUUACCAGAAGGAUCCCACAAGCAGCAGACAGGAACAUCAGAGACAAGAAAGUCGGCGGCAGAGCGAUUAGCGCCAUAGAGACAUAAAAUGAGAGAGACAGGAAAUGUUAGAGAGACAUAAACAGGAAGAGGAGAUGGCACGCAAGAGCCAAAGAAAGGCAGAGACGGCGAUGCUUCAAAGCCGGUGGCUCUAAAUGUAGAGCUCCUGCGAACCCAGGGAUGGAGACAUUGCUUGGAGCUAGAAAAUUAAAAUAGUCUUCCCCCGAGGCUUCAGAGUGAGUCAACCCUGCUCGAACCUGCCUCUGUCACGUCUGGCCUCCAGUGCUGUGAAGUCACACAUUGCGUGUCUGUGGUCGGUUGUCACGCAGCCACAGGAAACUCAAAGGGGUUGCCUGGUGUCCUCGCCUCCUGUCAGAAGCCCCCUGGGUUCUUUCAGGACCCCUCUGUGGCUUUCAGGCUGUACCUUGCCCUUGGUGACCCCGUUUUACAAGCAGCGCUUGGCUGCGUUUUCAGUGCAAAUGCAGACAGGGUAACUCUGCAUCCUGUGCACGUAGACGUGACGACCCGUCCAGCGACACUGUGGAGCACGGACUGUUAGCUAGUGCCCGAAAGUAAGAAACGACCAGUGGGAAACUUGUCACACCACACUGGGAACAUAUGGGCACACUGGUGUGUUAAAGUCAUACCAGGAAAACCAGGCUAAAGGACUUAAGGAACACAGACUGAAGGGAGUACCUGCCCCUGGACCCCAUCGAGUGAAAGGUGCUUGACACUAUGAAGAAGACAGCCCCACCCACCUGUCACCUGACCACCCAGGGUGUGUGUCAAGAGACUGAUGGGCCGGGUUCCUGUAGACCCUGGGAUUUCAGUUGGCCUUUAUCCCCAGUGCUUGACCCACCCGGCUUUCAGCACAUCUGUUUGUUCUUCUGUUCAGCCCAAAUGGAUCCCUAGAUCUGGUUGUGUGCUUGACUCCACAUUCCUCUUGUAGAAAUCCAACUUACCUUACCUAGGGCCGGGGGAUGGCUCAGUUGUAACCAUGGGAACUCGGGUUCAAGCCUCAGGAUCCAAGAAGAGGGCAAGGGGUGCUGUGCAUGCUUCAUUUCUAAUCCCAGUGCCACGGGGGGAGAGGGGGCUGCGGAGUCAUGCAACUCCCUGGGAUGGCUGGUCGACUGAGCUGCGUUGGUGAGUUCCAGGCAGGUGAAAGACCGUGUGUCAAAAAAAAUCAAAGUGGUUGGUGUCCUGAGGACCAACUGCUGCGCAUUACCUAUGGCUUCCUCAGGUGUGAACACACACAGACACAUAGACACAGACACAGACACACACACACACACACAGAUACACACACAGAUGCACACACAGACAAGAUACACACAUGCACAUACACACACACAUAUAUACUUACAGACUCAGACACACACAGACACACACACUCAUACACAUAGGCACAUAUAUACACAAACACACAUACAGACACAUACACACACAUACACAGACACAAGCACAUACACAUACCGACAUAAAUAUACACACAUACAGAUACACACAGACACAUGUACACAUAGACACACACAUAUACAGAUACAGAUACUCACAUAGACACACAUAUAUACACACAGACACAGACACUCAUAUAGACACACAUAGACACACAUAUUUAUGCACACAUAUAGACACAUAGACACACACACUCAUAUGCACACAUACAGACACACAUAGACACACACAGAUACACACACACACAGACACAUGCACACACACAGUGAGUGAGAGAAAGCACAUGCAUUGAUAAACCUUAAUGUCCCCGGGUUGUUUCCUUGGCCAGUAGCUACAGGGUCUCUGCUCUUUCUUGACUUUCCCCGAAGCGGAGCAGGCAGAUGGGUCUCUGAGGAGCUCUAGUAGAUGUGUGUCUGACAUGACAAAAUGGACCGAGGUGCCAACAUGGCCACCAGGAGCACACCGAGUGGCAGCUUACCCCAGAGAGCAGGUCUCCCUUGCACAUCUGGGUAGGCUGCCCUUUGUGACAACAGCUGUCCCCUCUAGGUUUCCUCUCAUCCUUCAGACUGGCUCCCUCUUUCCUGUGUAGAGGCUGAGUUGUGUAGAUCACCCCAAGAGAUUUCCAUGCCCUCUGCCUCAGGGCUAGACUCACAGUGAGCCAGAGGGGAGGAGACGUGCAAUGAUCUCCCAGAGCUAACGACACAUACGCACUGUCUCACAGUUCGUGGUAAAGUGUCCACAAGUCCGGGGUCCUCCCUGGGCUCUGGGAGGACCUGUCUAGCCUUCCUUGGCGUGGAGAAGCAUCUCAUGUCUUUACCUCCUUUAGUACACGGCCUUUAGCUCUGUAUCUGUCUGUGUUGUCCACCCAUGGGGACAUGGGUCACUGGACCUGACUUUAUCUGCUGUACUUCCCCACAUACGGGGGUUGGGGGGGAAAGCCAGCUUCUAAGUGAGAUCACAUUCUGAGGCUCCGGGAGAACAUGGAGUUUGGGGUUCAGUCUAGAGCAUUGCUGGCCCCCGUGAACCAGCAAUGUCUAUGAAUGAGAGGUGCUGCCGCCGCCAGAAGAAUGACUUGCUGUUCUAGGUGUCAGCUAUCGGUCACCACCAUUGUCCUGUGGGGCUUGGGGAAGAUGUGGCUUUGCUGUCACCAACCCCAGCUGCCUUCCCUCUGAGGCUCCCCUGCCUUAUACACACCAUGUAAGAAAACCUCCUUUGGGGGUUGGGGAUUUAGCUCAGUGGUAGAGCGCUUGCCUAGGAGGCGCAAGGCCCUGGGUUCAGUCCCCAGCUCCAAAAAAAAAGACCCAAAAAAAAAAAAAAAAAAGAAAAGAAAAGAAAAAGAAAACCUCCUUUGACCUGUCCUGAAGGUGCCAUCUGUCUCUUGUUGGACAGGACACAGUGCCAGCACCAAUCAUAUUUUUGUCCCUGUCAAUUCUUUCUCACUGAACAGGGAGAACCUGGAAGGGGUUGGUUUGAGUCACUGCCUAACAUCGGGAGGCUGAGACUGGCCAAGGUCUGCCUCAGGGCUGUGCUUAGACAAUAACCUUCUCCCUCCUUCUUCAGGGCCCCAGGAAAACCCUUUCUGCUUAUGGUAUGGGGACCUGUGGACUGAGUCUGGCCACCCUAAGUUCUCUCCAUUGUGGGUGCCAGAGGCCCAGCUCCCACUGGCUUCAGCAGAAAUAGGUUGAAGAGUUCUGUGGGGGCUUGGUCUGGGGUGCAGAUGGGUAUGCAAAUGGUUGCUUGAAGUUGGCACAGCCUGUCUCUCCUCGUCUCUGAUGCUUUUCCAGCCGGUGUGGCUUGGUCACUCCCAGCAUCUCUGCUGGGUGAGACUGAGAUAGCUCCCGGAGGGAGACUGAGAUGGUUCCCAGAGGGUUGGGCAACAGGACCCAUCCAGCUACAGGCUUCCCUCGGGAAGCAGGAUUCUUUCUCAAUGGUGUUGACAAUGGUCAUAGGGGAGACAUUGGUGGAUAGGGUCACAAGCUGGGCAGGUAGUUAGUUCCCCAGAGUGAAACUUGGGAGCAGAAGGCACUUUAGGACAGAGUGGGUAUAGCUAGGCGGCAUAGGUCCUGUCGGGGAAGGAGAGCGUACUGGGGUCAACUGCAGUGUCAAGGGAACACAGGCAAGGGGCUCCAUCUUCUAGGGUCCUCCCUGGCCAGAGGAACUAAAGGGAAGGGUGGCCAGAGGCUGUGUCGGGAGGGCACGGUUCAUGUUCUUGAUGUCCUGUGUCAGAAUCAGGACACUCUGGGCUGCUACACUCAGGCCCUCCACCCUUAUCCUCUCCCAGGCGCCUCAACUUGACGAGGACUUACAUUUUACAUGUUUGUGACUUUUUUAUAAUUGAACUCGAGCAACCAUCUGUGUGACAAGCACCAGGACAGGCCACCCAGGGCUGAAGGAUGGCCUUCAUCCCUUCCCCCUACCCAAGGGAUCAUGGCUUGGACUCUGAGCAGACCUGGGCCCCUCACCAAAGAUCUGGGAUGAACAGGGUCUAGCCCAUCCUCACACAUCACUCCUGUUUCUGUCCUAGACCUUGUUUUCCUGUUGCCUUUUUGAGGGGAGACAUUGGUGGGGCUUGAUACACCAGCCAGGGCUCCGGUCCGGAAGGGUCAUGUCCCCAUUUUGCACCCCUCACCCCCCGGCUCUCGUUCCGCUCCUGAUGGCCACGAAGCCAGGCUUCUGACUUUGGAUGUCUCCCUUUGUUCAGCCAGGGCAGAGGCCCCUGAAGGCGGGGUGGCUGUUCCAAUGCUCCCUUGUUUGCUCCACAUCCCCAACAGACUCUUGUUUGGUAAGCUGCCGUGUGAGACUGGAGAGUGACGCUCCACUCGGAGCAAGGCAGGGAGGACCCG
RNAcentral lists this long non-coding RNA (4598 nucleotides) under Rattus norvegicus (Norway rat). RNAcentral describes it as "long non-coding RNA NONRATT034070". The stretch from base 2977 to 3039 matches the Rfam family "tRNA". Lineage: Eukaryota; Metazoa; Chordata; Mammalia; Rodentia; Muridae. The record is from RNAcentral.